RNAcentral lists this long non-coding RNA (266 nucleotides) under Rattus norvegicus (Norway rat). RNAcentral's name for it is "long non-coding RNA NONRATT031938". Lineage: Eukaryota; Metazoa; Chordata; Mammalia; Rodentia; Muridae. The record is from RNAcentral.
UCUCGCGCCGAGGGGCAGAGGACAGACGGAGCGGAGCCGCGGGGACCCCACCCAAGGGGCUCUCUCACCUGGGGUUCAGAACACCAGCGAGCUGCUGUAGCUGCAAGCGCAGCCAUGGACCUUUCAAUUUGCGCGGGAUCGAGAGGCCCCGCCCAGCGGACAUGACGUUCUUGGGCGUCCAGAGCAUGAACCUCCACCUCCCGUUUUCUAGAACCCGACCUUCCUCUUAUCUGGGUCCUGAGCCCUUCCUUGCAAGACUCCUCUGA